AAUCAACGCUGGCGGCGUGCCUCAGACAUGCAAGUCGAACGCGAAAGUCCCCUUCGGGGGACAAGUAGAGUGGCGCACGGGUGAGUAACACGUAGGUAAUCUACCUUCGGAUGGGGAAUAACGAUCGGAAACGGUUGCUAAUACCGCAUAAUGCAGCGGCACCUAAUGGUGACAGUUGUUAAAGCGGGGGAUCGAAAGACCUCGCGUCUGAAGAGGAGCCUGCGGCGGAUAGCUAGUUGGUAAGGUAACGGCUUACCAAGGCGACGAUCCGUAGCCGGCCUGAGAGGGCGGUCGGCCACACUGACACUGACAUACGGGUCAGACUCCUACGGGAGGCAGCAGUCGGGAAUUUUGGGC
Molecule: ribosomal RNA, 357 nt
Filed under: uncultured bacterium
Lineage: Bacteria
Description: bacterial SSU rRNA
Rfam family: Bacterial small subunit ribosomal RNA
Source: RNAcentral